RNAcentral lists this ribosomal RNA (207 nucleotides) under uncultured bacterium. Its description in RNAcentral is "partial 16S ribosomal RNA". It matches the Rfam family "Bacterial small subunit ribosomal RNA", at positions 568 to 774 of the family's 1533-position model. The record is from RNAcentral.
CACGCAGGCGGUUUGCUAAGUCAGAUGUGAAAGCCCCGGGCUCAACCUGGGAACUGCAUUUAAUACUGGCAAACUAGAGUAUGGGAGAGAGAAGUAGAAUUCCACAUGUAGCGGUGAAAUGCGUAGAGAUGUGGAGGAAUAUCAGUGGCGAAGGCGACUUCUUGGCCCAAUACUGACGCUCAGGUGCGAAAGCGUGGGGAGCAAACA